ACAUGUCCGCAUGAUUAAAGGUAUUUUCCGGUAGACGAUGGGGAUGCGUUCCAUUAGAUAGUAGGCGGGGUAACGGCCCACCUAGUCAACGAUGGAUAGGGGUUCUGAGAGGAAGGUCCCCCACAUUGGAACUGAGACACGGUCCAAACUCCUACGGGAGGCAGCAGUGAGGAAUAUUGGUCAAUGGGCGAUGGCCUGAACCAGCCAAGUAGCGUGAAGGAUGACUGCCCUAUGGGUUGUAAACUUCUUUUAUAAAGGAAUAAAGUCGGGUAUGCAUACCCGUUUGCAUGUACUUUAUGAAUAAGGAUCGGCUAACUCCGUGCCAGCAGCCGCGGUAAUACGGAGGAUCCGAGCGUUAUCCGGAUUUAUUGGGUUUAAAGGGAGCGUAGAUGGAUGUUUAAGUCAGUUGUGAAAGUUUGCGGCUCAACCGUAAAAUUGCAGUUGAUACUGGAUGUCUUGAGUGCAGUUGAGGCAGGCGGAAUUCGUGGUGUAGCGGUGAAAUGCUUAGAUAUCACGAAGAACUCCGAUUGCGAAGGCAGCCUGCUAAGCUGCAACUGACAUUGAGGCUCGAAAGUGUGGGUAUCAAACAGGAUUAGAUACCCUGGUAGUCCACACGGUAAACGAUGAAUACUCGCUGUUUGCGAUAUACGGCAAGCG
Molecule: ribosomal RNA, 657 nt
Filed under: uncultured bacterium
Lineage: Bacteria
Description: bacterial SSU rRNA
Rfam family: Bacterial small subunit ribosomal RNA
Source: RNAcentral